CUAUGGGUUGCUGCAGUAACGAAUAUUGCGCAAUGGCCGAAAGGCUGACGCAGCGACGCCGCGUGUAGGACGAAGCCCCUCGGGGUGUAAACUACUGUCAUGGUGAAGAAAGAUCUGAUCGAUCCAGAAGGAAGGACCGGCUAAAUUCGUGCCAGCAGCCGCGGUAAUACGAAUGGUCCUAGCGUUGUUCGGAAUCACUGGGCUUAAAGCGCACGUAGGUGGACAAUUAAGUGUCUUGUGAAAUCCCACGGCUCAACCGUGGAACUGCAGGGCAUACUGGUUGUCUUGAGGCAAGUAGGGGUACAUGGAACUCUGGGUGGAGCGGUGAAAUGCGUAGAUAUCCAGAGGAACGCCAGCGGUGAAAACGGUGUACUGGGCUUGUUCUGACACUGAGGUGCGAAAGCGUGGGUAGCAAACAGGAUUAGAUAUCCGGGUAGUC
This 439-nucleotide ribosomal RNA is filed under the name uncultured bacterium. RNAcentral describes it as "partial 16S ribosomal RNA". It matches the Rfam family "Bacterial small subunit ribosomal RNA", at positions 339 to 795 of the family's 1533-position model. The record is from RNAcentral.